GGGUUGUGAGGUUAAGCGACUAAGCGUACACGGUGGAUGCCCUGGCAGUCAGAGGCGAUGAAGGGCGUGCUAAUCUGCGAUAAGCGCCGGUAAGGUGAUAUGAACCGUUAUAACCGGCGAUACCCGAAUGGGGAAACCCAGUGUGAUUCGUCACACUAUCAUUAACUGAAUCCAUAGGUUAAUGAGGCGAACCGGGGGAACUGAAACAUCUAAGUACCCCGAGGAAAAGAAAUCAACCGAGAUUCCCCCAGUAGCGGCGAGCGAACGGGGAGGAGCCCAGAGCCUGAAUCAGCAUGUGUGUUAGUGGAAGCGUCUGGAAAGGCGCGCGAUACAGGGUGACAGCCCCGUACACAAAAGCGCAUGUGCUGUGAGCUCGAUGAGUAGGGCGGGACACGUGGUAUCCUGUCUGAAUAUGGGGGGACCAUCCUCCAAGGCUAAAUACUCCUGACUGACCGAUAGUGAACCAGUACCGUGAGGGAAAGGCGAAAAGAACCCCGGCGAGGGGAGUGAAAAAGAACCUGAAACCGUGUACGUACAAGCAGUGGGAGCACAGGUUUACCUGUGUGACUGCGUACCUUUUGUAUAAUGGGUCAGCGACUUAUAUUCUGUAGCAAGGUUAACCGUAUAGGGGAGCCGGAGGGAAACCGAGUCUUAAUUGGGCGUUAAGUUGCAGGGUAUAGACCCGAAACCCGGUGAUCUAGCCAUGGGCAGGUUGAAGGUUGGGUAACACUAACUGGAGGACCGAACCGACUAAUGUUGAAAAAUUAGCGGAUGACCUGUGGCUGGGGGUGAAAGGCCAAUCAAACCGGGAGAUAGCUGGUUCUCCCCGAAAGCUAUUUAGGUAGCGCCUCGUGAAUUCAUCUCCGGGGGUAGAGCACUGUUUCGGCUAGGGGGCCAUCCCGGCUUACCAACCCGAUGCAAACUGCGAAUACCGGAGAAUGUUAUCACGGGAGACACACGGCGGGUGCUAACGUCCGUCGUGAAGAGGGAAACAACCCAGACCGCCAGCUAAGGUCCCAAAGUCAUGGUUAAGUGGGAAACGAUGUGGGAAGGCCCAGACAGCCAGGAUGUUGGCUUAGAAGCAGCCAUCAUUUAAAGAAAGCGUAAUAGCUCACUGGUCGAGUCGGCCUGCGCGGAAGAUGUAACGGGGCUAAACCAUGCACCGAAGCUGCGGCAGCGAACGUAUCACCCAAGACAACUUUACGGAGUUGACGAUUGACGGAGCGAAGCGACGUCAAAGCGUUCAUUAAAGUCGAGUUGGCUUAGGGAUACGUUCGUUGGGUAGGGGAGCGUUCUGUAAGCCUGUGAAGGUGUGUCGUGAGGCA
This 1325-nucleotide ribosomal RNA is filed under the name Staphylococcus aureus. RNAcentral describes it as "partial 23S ribosomal RNA". It matches the Rfam family "Bacterial large subunit ribosomal RNA", at positions 1 to 1270 of the family's 2925-position model. Lineage: Bacteria; Bacillati; Bacillota; Bacilli; Caryophanales; Staphylococcaceae. The record is from RNAcentral.